Molecule: non-coding RNA, 73 nt
Organism: Mustela putorius furo (domestic ferret)
Lineage: Eukaryota; Metazoa; Chordata; Mammalia; Carnivora; Mustelidae
Source: Rfam
ACCUGGCUGGCUCAGUCAGUAGAGCAUGUGACUCUUGAUCUCAGGGUUGUGGGUUCAAGCCCCACAUUGGGUA